AUCAAAAUCUCUCUCUCUCUCUCUCUCCAGCUCAGAUCAAAAUCUUUUCUUUCAGUUCCACAAACAAUCAAUGGAGAGCUAUGCAUUAGCUCUUUCUAGCUCCAGUCUAAACCCAAAACCCCUAAAGCAUAUCAACCCACCCAAAAUCUUACCACGUUCUUCAUCUUCUUCUUCUUCACCAAUCCAUUUACUGUGCAGAAGCAUAAGUUCAAACACACCAGGCUUCACUUUCAGCUCUAAUUACAAAACCCACAAUAAUUACUAUUCCUUCUUGUCUCCAAAACGAAUCUACAAUGAUUUGGUGGUGGCCAGGGCUUCUGAAAGCUCCGGUGAGUCUGCAAAUCCAGCUGAGUUUGGCCGGAAUUUACAGCUGGCAGCCAUGUUUGGAGUGUGGUAUCUUUUGAACAUCUACUUCAACAUCUUCAACAAACAGGUUCUUAAGGUUUUUCCAUACCCAAUGACAGUGACCACGUUUCAAUUUGGGUGUGGGACUGUGAUGAUUUUGAUUAUGUGGGCACUUAAACUUCAUCCAAGACCCAAGAUUUAUAAAUCCCAGAUUGUACCUGUGGUAAUGUUGGCAGUGGCACACACAAUGGGAAACCUUUUGACUAACAUAAGUCUUGGAAGAGUUGCGGUUUCCUUCACUCACACAAUUAAAGCCAUGGAGCCUUUUUUCACUGUUCUCUUUUCUGCACUUCUACUUUCAGAGAGACCAACAUUAUGGGUGGUUUCAUCUCUUGUGCCUAUUGUGGGUGGUGUUGCAUUGGCAUCCUUCACCGAAUCUUCAUUUAACUGGAUCGGUUUUGGAAGUGCAAUGGCUUCAAAUGUCACCAACCAAUCACGUAAUGUACUUAGCAAAAAGUUUAUGGUCAGGAAAGAGGAAGCUUUGGACAAUAUCAAUCUGUUCUCAGUUAUCACCAUCAUCUCCUUUAUCCUGUUGAUCCCUUUUAUGUUCUUAUUAGAAGGCUUCAAGUUUACUCCAGAGUACCUGCAGUCUGCUGCAAGUCAAGGUGUGAAUGUGAGAGAGCUAUGUGUGAGGUCUGUUCUAGCUGGUGUCUGCUUUCAUAGUUAUCAACAGAGGAGUGACAGGUAUCGUAUAUGAUACUACAAAUGGUAAAUCCAGUGACACAUGCCGUGGGGAACUGUGUGAAGCGAGUGGUGGUCAUCGUCUCCUCUGUUAUCUUCUUUCAGACACCCGUGUCUCCCAUAAACUCCCUUGGAACUGGUUUGGCACUUGCUGGAGUUUUCCUGUAUUCAAGAGCAAAACGGAUAAAACCAAAAGCUGCUUGACUUGUAAUACAAGCUUCAUAGGUUGAAGCAUCGCAUAUCAUUUCAAUUCGCCUUGCCUUGGAAACAAUAAUUGUGCAUAUAUACAUUCUACACUCAUUUUCCCUUUUCUUUUGUAUCGCCCUCUGCCCUGGUUAGAAAAGGAACAGAGCACUCAAAAAGUAUGACCAAGAUAUAUUUGGAAUU
Lactuca sativa (garden lettuce) is the source of this 1473-nucleotide non-coding RNA. The record is from RefSeq and is a predicted model, not a curated record. Lineage: Eukaryota; Viridiplantae; Streptophyta; Magnoliopsida; Asterales; Asteraceae.